This 1750-nucleotide long non-coding RNA is filed under the name Nicotiana benthamiana. RNAcentral describes it as "long non-coding RNA (NBEN_LNC036813)". Lineage: Eukaryota; Viridiplantae; Streptophyta; Magnoliopsida; Solanales; Solanaceae. The record is from RNAcentral.
ACCGCCUCUAAUACCCUUCCCUCUCAACUCUCUCUACAAUCUCUCAUGAACCCUAGUCGCCGCCACCUAAUUCCACCCUAAUCCACCUCUACCACUGCCUAAUCCAUGUCCUCUCAUGGCCAUUUGAGAUGUGUAUCACCCCUAUAGCUCCUAGGUGUUUGUUUAUGUCAUUUCAUGGGCAGACCUCGAUGGAAUCUAGUCCAGUCCUUGCUCAAUUUCUGUUCAUGGCCUUUCUCUGACCUUCCAUGACCUUUCUCCUGCCAUUCAUAGCCUUUCAAGGCAGAUCCUUGACUUUUAUGGCUAGUUUGGUAACUUUCAAGGCCUUUCUCACCUUUUUUGGGUUUUCCAAAAUGCUAAUCUUUAAGAUCUUUCAACUUUCUUCAGAUCUAUCUUGGAUCUGUGCUUACUACGAACUUCUUAAGUGUUUUCGUGAAGUUCUCUCAAUUUUCUUUCAAAACAACUCUUCAUUUUCCAACGAUUUAGGUUUUCCUUUAAGUUUUUAAAGAUCUUGUUUAUGAUUUUAAUGUUAUUUGUGAUUUUUCUAUGUUUAAAACGACUUGCUCAUGUUGUUCUUCUUUCUAUUUCAGCAUGUUAAAAACCUAGUUUCCUUUUUGUCUUAUCCGACUUCUGAAAUUGUUUGCCUAAAUGUAUGCUUAUUUUGAGUUCUUUGUUUCUGACUCUCUUCUCCUUGUUUGGCUUAUUUGGUUUGAGUUCUUUUCAUCUCUUAAACUCGACUACUGUCGAAGCCCUAAUUUUUUAAAAGGGGUUUUCUCACUUAUUACUACUGUGACACCUUUACUUGUUUCUGAUUUAUCUUACCUUGAUGUUAUGUUCUUCUUCACUGUUGAUUCUAUGUGACCACUUGACGUACUUGGCUACUCAACUUCAAAUAUUGUUCUUACUAAUGAAUCCUAAGUUUAUUUUUGCCACUACCGUAUGUUUAUCUCUUUUGCCAAUGUGUUUGGCCUCGCAUGUCAGAUGCCUCUGUUCAGUCUAUUUAUAUAAUGAAGUGUAGAAUCAUGUUUCUUCCUUGAUUGAUCUUGUUUUUUUGACUGAUUGCAAAAUCCUUUCUUUUAUGACCCCUAAUUUCACUCCGUUGUUUAAAAUUAAUUGAUUCCUCUCCCUUUUGUGUGAUAUUUUAUCUUGUUGAAUCCUUUCCUGAAAUAAGCCUAUUUUGUACUUAGACUUGAUUAUUUACUUCAUACUUUUACUACCCCCUUACAUGGCAUUAAUCAAUCCGUCCUCAACUUGAUUUCUUUUUUAAAUUAAUCCUGCUACUACCCGUUAAACAGUGAUUCCUUUAUUAAAGGGAGUCACUUGUGCUAAUUGAUUCAGUCUUCUUAUAAAACAGAGAGUAACGAAGCAUUGCGUGAGUAUACCCCCUACAACAUAGUGAUUUAGUUAAUUUCUCAUACCACUGUCUUCUUGGUUGUUUAACUCCAUACAGGGACUUGAUCAAUUUUUAUACUAAACCUGGUCUCUCCACAAUCAGCCCUGGUGGCACCUCCAUGUACACUUCUUCAUGGAGGUCUCCAUGGAGGAAUGCAUUGUUGACAUCCAACUGUAGAACCUGCCAUCCUUUCUUGACUGUUGUUGCUAUCAAGUCUCCCACAGUUGUCAUUUUCAGUACUGGUGAGAAGGUCUCUGUAUAGUCUAUACCAGCUUGUUGUGUGACCCUUAACCACUAAUGUUGCUUUAAACCGUUCUAUAUUUUUGUCUACUUUACGCUUGAUUUUAUACACUCAGCUAC